CUGGUGAGUCUGGUUGCUGGUGAUGUUUUAGAUGCCAUCAGCUCCAAGGCUGAUCAGUA
RNAcentral lists this microRNA precursor (59 nucleotides) under Branchiostoma lanceolatum (amphioxus). Its description in RNAcentral is "Bla-Mir-22-P2c_pre stem-loop". Lineage: Eukaryota; Metazoa; Chordata; Leptocardii; Amphioxiformes; Branchiostomatidae. The record is from RNAcentral.